RNAcentral lists this ribosomal RNA (400 nucleotides) under uncultured bacterium. Its description in RNAcentral is "bacterial SSU rRNA". It matches the Rfam family "Bacterial small subunit ribosomal RNA", at positions 99 to 518 of the family's 1533-position model. The record is from RNAcentral.
CGGAUGGGUGAGUAACACGUGGGUAACCUGCCCUGCACAGGGGGAUAACAGCUGGAAACGGCUGUUAAUACCGCAUAUGCACACGCUGCCGCAUGGCAGAGGGUGGAAAGAUUUAUCGGUGCAGGAUGGGCCCGCGUCGGAUUAACAGUUGGCAGGGUAACGGCCUACCAAGGUUAUGAUCCGUAGCCGACCUGAGAGGGUGACCGGCCACAUUGGGACUGAGACAGGCCCAAACUCCUACGGGAGGCAGCAGUGGGGGAUAUUGCACAAUGGGCGGAAGCCUGAAUGCAGCGACGCCGCGUGAAGGAAGAAGUAUUUCGGUAUGUAAACUUCUAUCAGCGGGGAAGAAGAUGGCGGUACCCGACUAAGAAGCCCCGGCUAACUACGUGCCAGCAGCCGC